CCUACGGGAUGCUGCAGUGGGGGAUAUUGCACAAUGGGGGAAACCCUGAUGCAGCAACGCCGCGUGAGUGAAGAAGUAUUUCGGUAUGUAAAGCUCUAUCAGCAGGGAAGAGAAUGACGGUACCUGACUAAGAAGCCCCGGCUAACUACGUGCCAGCAGCCGCGGUAAUACGUAGGGGGCGAGCGUUAUCCGGAUUUACUGGGUGUAAAGGGAGCGUAGACGGCUGUUCAAGUCUGAAGUGAAAGCCCGGGGCUAAACCCCGGAACGGCUUUGGAAACUGAGCGGCUGGAGUGCUGGUGAGGUAAGCGGAAUUCCUAGUGUAGCGGUGAAAUGCGUAGAGAUUAGGAGGAACACCAGUGGCGAAGGCGGCUUACUGGACAGUAACUGACGUUGAGGCUCGAAAGCGUGGGGAGCAAACAGGAUUAGAUACCCCUGUAGUC
This 440-nucleotide ribosomal RNA is filed under the name uncultured bacterium. RNAcentral describes it as "partial 16S ribosomal RNA". It matches the Rfam family "Bacterial small subunit ribosomal RNA", at positions 338 to 795 of the family's 1533-position model. The record is from RNAcentral.